GUGGGCCCUCGAAGUCCUGUGGCGAGUGGAUUCAACCCGGUCCAGUCCCUCGGAUAUGAGCGUGUGGAUGUCUUCCAGUUAGUCAGUGAUGGCGUUCUACUGGGUUAGGCCUGCACGCGACUCCGGGGGCGGGUGCCGGGGGCAUUUCGCUCUCGCCCAAAAGGACGCCGCAGCGGGCCGGGAAAGAAAGCGACGGCCUGAAAGCCGGACAGGGGCAGGUGGCCGGUGGCGCAAACCCAUCUCAGGGUGUGCCGCCGGUUGUUAGCCGGUCCGGCCAGUGGCUCGUCUCCCGGUCGUGGUGUUCGCUGGUCCCUCGUGGACCCUGCCGCCUCCUCCCUAAGGGGACGUGCGUUGAGCGCCGCAGGAGUGAAACGGCGUCGCGACGCACCCAGAACGGUGUGGUAGCGGCGUAUUUCUCCUCCGCUGGCGGUGCUUGUACGCGCCGGAGGCAGGUGGCUCGCGGCGAGUAGGUCGGUCACCCACCCGACCCGUCUUGAAACACGGACCAAGGAGUCUAACAUGUGCGCGAGUCAAUGGGACUUGAACAGGCCCAGAGGCGCAAUGAAAGCAAAGGCCGACCGAGCGUCGGUUGAGUCGGGAUCCCCGCCUUGUGCGGGGCGCACCGACGGCCCGUCCCGUCCGGCUCGUCCGGUGGGGCGGAGCGUGAGCGUACACGUUGGGACCCGAAAGAUGGUGAACUAUGCCCGGCCAGGACGAGGCCAGAGGAAACUCUGGUGGAGGUCCGCAGCGGUUCUGACGUGCAAAUCKAUCGUCAGAGCCCGGUAUAGG
This 789-nucleotide ribosomal RNA is filed under the name Hahnia ngai. RNAcentral describes it as "partial large subunit ribosomal RNA". Lineage: Eukaryota; Metazoa; Arthropoda; Arachnida; Araneae; Hahniidae. The record is from RNAcentral.